Molecule: ribosomal RNA, 501 nt
Filed under: uncultured bacterium
Lineage: Bacteria
Description: partial 16S ribosomal RNA
Rfam family: Bacterial small subunit ribosomal RNA
Source: RNAcentral
AUUGAACGCUGGCGGCAGGCUUAACACAUGCAAGUCGAGCGGGGGGAGGUAGCUUGCUACCGGACCUAGCGGCGGACGGGUGAGUAAUGCUUAGGAAUCUGCCUAUUAGGGGGGGACAACAUCUCGAAAGGGAUGCUAAUACCGCAUACGUCAUACGGGAGAAAGCAGGGGAUCCUCGGACCUUCCGCUAAUAGAUGAGCCUAAGUCGGAUUAGCUAGUGGGUGGGGGAAAGGCCUACCAAGGCGACGAUCUGUAGCGGGGCUGAGAGGGUGAUCCGCCACACUGGGACCGAGACACGGCCCAGACUCCUACGGGAGGCAGCAGUGGGGAAUAUUGGACAAUGGGGGGAACCCUGAUCCAGCCAUGCCGCGUGUGUGAAGAAGGCCUUAGGGUUGUAAAGCACUUUAAGCGAGGAGGAGGCUACUUUAGUUAAUACCUAGAGAUAGUGGACGUUACUCGCAGAAUAAGCACCGGCUAACUCUGUGCCAGCAGCCGCCGUAA